Molecule: ribosomal RNA, 440 nt
Filed under: uncultured bacterium
Lineage: Bacteria
Description: partial 16S ribosomal RNA
Rfam family: Bacterial small subunit ribosomal RNA
Source: RNAcentral
CCUACGGGGGGCAGCAGUAGGGAAUAUUGCUCAAUGGGGGAAACCCUGAAGCAGCAACGCCGCGUGGGGGAUGACGGUUUUCGGAUUGUAAACUCCUUUUGUUAGAGAAGAUAAUGACGGUAUCUAACGAAUAAGCACCGGCUAAAUCCGUGUCAGCAGCCGCGGUAAUACGGAGGGUGCAAGCGUUACUCGGAAUCACUGGGCGUAAAGAGCGCGUAGGCGGGAUAGCAAGUCAGAUGUGAAAUCCUAUGGCUUAACCAAAAAACUGCAUUUGAAACUGUUGUUCUAGAGUAUGGGAGAGGUAGGUGGAAUGCUUGGUGUAGGGGUAAAAUGCGUAGAGAUCAAGAAGAAUACUGAUUGCGAAGGCGGCCUGCUGGAACAUAACUGACGCUGAGGCGCGAAAGCGUGGGGAGCAAACAGGAUUAGAUACCCUAGUAGUC